AAGUCGUAACAAGGUCUCCGUUGGUGAACCAGCGGAGGGAUCAUUACCGAGUUUACAACUCCCAAACCCAAUGUGAACGUUACCAAACUGUUGCCUCGGCGGGAUCUCUGCCCCGGGUGCGUCGCAGCCCCGGACCAAGGCGCCCGCCGGAGGUACCCAAAACUCUUGUUUAACUAAAAGGCCUCUCUGAGUACUGUACUUAAAUAAGUCAAAACUUUCAACAACGGAUCUCUUGGCUCUC
This 241-nucleotide unclassified non-coding RNA is filed under the name Trichoderma sp. RNAcentral describes it as "partial internal transcribed spacer region". The stretch from base 1 to 46 matches the Rfam family "Eukaryotic small subunit ribosomal RNA", at positions 1786 to 1831 of the family's 1831-position model. The record is from RNAcentral. Lineage: Eukaryota; Fungi; Ascomycota; Sordariomycetes; Hypocreales; Hypocreaceae.